GAUACUAGGUGUAGGAGGUAUCGACCCCUUCUGUGCCGGAGUUAACGCAAUAAGUAUCCCGCCUGGGGAGUACGGUCGCAAGACUGAAACUCAAAGGAAUUGACGGGGGCCCGCACAAGCGGUGGAGUAUGUGGUUUAAUUCGACGCAACGCGAAGAACCUUACCAGGGCUUGACAUUGAGUGAAAGGGCAAGAGAUUGUCCCCUUAUCUUCGGAUAACACGAAAACAGGUGGUGCAUGGCUGUCGUCAG
RNAcentral lists this ribosomal RNA (250 nucleotides) under uncultured bacterium. Its description in RNAcentral is "partial 16S ribosomal RNA". It matches the Rfam family "Bacterial small subunit ribosomal RNA", at positions 812 to 1058 of the family's 1533-position model. The record is from RNAcentral.